RNAcentral lists this ribosomal RNA (488 nucleotides) under Bemisia tabaci. RNAcentral describes it as "partial 16S ribosomal RNA". Lineage: Eukaryota; Metazoa; Arthropoda; Insecta; Hemiptera; Aleyrodidae. The record is from RNAcentral.
UCGCCUGUUUAACCAAAACAUAGUUUAAAGAAAAAAAAUUUUAGAUAAAUUCUGCUCAAUGAGUAAGUUAAAUAGCUGCAGUAAAUUAACUGUACUAAGGUAGCAUAAUAAGUUGCUUUAUAAUUAAAAGCUUGAAUGAAAGAAAUAAUGUGAAAGAAGCUUUUUAAACUAAAAUAGUGAAAAUUAAUAUUUAAGUGAAAAAUCUUAAAUAGAAUCAAAAGACAAGAAGACCCUUUAGAACUUUACAAAUUGAUUUAAUAUCAUUUAGUUAAUUUGUUAAAUUGGGGAGAUUUUUAAAUAAAUAAAUCUUUAGAUAUAAAAAAAUGAUUUAAAUCAGAUUAAAUUAUCCAAAUGUGAAAUAAAACAAGUUACCUAAGGGAUAACAGCGCAAAAUUUUUGAGAAGUUCUCAUUUACAAAAUAAAUUGCGACCUCGAUGUUGGAUUAAGAACAACUUAUAAAGAAAAAUUAUAAGAGAGGUCGUCGCCUC